Long non-coding RNA from Oncorhynchus keta (chum salmon), 421 nucleotides. RefSeq lists it as uncharacterized. NCBI's taxonomy places the organism in Eukaryota, Metazoa, Chordata, Actinopteri, Salmoniformes, Salmonidae. The record is from RefSeq and is a predicted model, not a curated record. The transcript has 3 exons.
GUAUAGGGUUAUGGACCGUACCAUUACAUUAGGACUUCUCCUUAGUAUCUGGGUCAUUCAGGUGGGUGUCUAGGGUAUAGGGUUAUGGACCGUACCAUUACAUUAGGACUUCUCCUUAGUAUCUGGGUCAUUCAGGUGGGUGUCUAGGGUAUAGGGUCAUGGACCGUACCAUUACAUUAGGACUUCUCCUUAGUAUCUGGGUCAUUCAGGUGGGUGUCUAGGGUAUAGGGUUGUGGACCGUACCAUUACAUUAGGACUUCUCCUUAGUAUCUGGGUCAUUCAGGUGGGUGUCUAGGGUAUAGGGUCAUGGACCGUACCAUUACAUUAGGACUUCUCCUUAGUAUCUGGGUCAUUCAGGUGGGUGUCUAGGGUAUAGGGUUGUGGACCGUACCAUUACAUUAGGACUUCUCCUUAGUGUCUG